GGCUGAUUAGCUCAGUUGGUUAAAGCGUGGUGCUCAUAACACCAUGGUCGCCAGUUCGAUCCCUGCAUGGGCCA
Rhinolophus ferrumequinum (greater horseshoe bat) is the source of this 74-nucleotide non-coding RNA. The record is from the annotation of a RefSeq genome assembly. NCBI's taxonomy places the organism in Eukaryota, Metazoa, Chordata, Mammalia, Chiroptera, Rhinolophidae.